Molecule: transfer RNA, 73 nt
Organism: Cavia porcellus (domestic guinea pig)
Lineage: Eukaryota; Metazoa; Chordata; Mammalia; Rodentia; Caviidae
Rfam family: tRNA
About the family: Transfer RNA (tRNA) molecules are approximately 80 nucleotides in length. Their secondary structure includes four short double-helical elements and three loops (D, anti-codon, and T loops).
Source: Rfam
GGGGAUAUAGCUCAGUGGCAUAAGUGCCUGCCUGGCAAGCACAAAGCCCUGAGUUCAAUUCCCAGUGCCACCA